GCUUCUCAGGUGGGAGCCUCCACUCUGGUUUGGUUUUGUCCCGUCCCCCCCGCCAAGUGCCUGGACCCCAAACAGAAAUUCUUUGAACAGUGCGCCGCCGCCGCUGGGAGGGAAGACAAAAGCUAGCAGGCGUGUCUGGAGGGUUAAACAUGCACAGCUUCUUCAACUCUUCCUCAGGGGACUUGGUUUCCAGACCCCUCACCAUCUCUGUCGCCUUCCCCUGAACCCAUUCCAGUUUAUCAACAUUCUUCUUAAGAUGUGGGACCCAGAAUUGGACACAGUCUUCCCAGUGAGGUCUGACCAGCGUAGAAAAGUUUUUCUUCCAUGACUGGUGCACAGUUCACGAUUGCCUGAGCAUCACAUGCAAGGUAAUCUUUGUUGCUGCAAAUUUAAUAAAAUGAAGCCCACAGAGACUAACGUACAAGACAAAGGAUCCUCUCUCCUGGUUUUGUACACCUCUUAUCUGAUAAUAAAACUACUGC
Molecule: long non-coding RNA, 482 nt
Organism: Hemicordylus capensis (graceful crag lizard)
Lineage: Eukaryota; Metazoa; Chordata; Lepidosauria; Squamata; Cordylidae
Exons: 3
Source: RefSeq, a predicted model, not a curated record